This 583-nucleotide ribosomal RNA is filed under the name uncultured fungus. Its description in RNAcentral is "eukaryotic LSU rRNA". The stretch from base 212 to 365 matches the Rfam family "5.8S ribosomal RNA". Lineage: Eukaryota; Fungi. The record is from RNAcentral.
UCAUUUAGAGGAAGUAAAAGCCGUAACAAGGUCUCCGUUGGUGAACCAGCGGAGGGAUCAUUACCGAGUUUACAACUCCCAAACCCCUGUGAACAUACCAAUUGUUGCCUCGGCGGAUCAGCCCGCUCCCGGUAAAACGGGACGGCCCGCCAGAGGACCCCUAAACUCUGUUUCUAUAUGUAACUUCUGAGUAAAACCAUAAAUAAAUCAAAACUUUCAACAACGGAUCUCUUGGUUCUGGCAUCGAUGAAGAACGCAGCAAAAUGCGAUAAGUAAUGUGAAUUGCAGAAUUCAGUGAAUCAUCGAAUCUUUGAACGCACAUUGCGCCCGCCAGUAUUCUGGCGGGCAUGCCUGUUCGAGCGUCAUUUCAACCCUCAAGCCCCCGGGUUUGGUGUUGGGGAUCGGCGAGCCUCACGGCAAGCCGGCCCCGAAAUACAGUGGCGGUCUCGCUGCAGCUUCCAUUGCGUAGUAGUAAAACCCUCGCAACUGGUACGCGGCGCGGCCAAGCCGUUAAACCCCCAACUUCUGAAUGUUGACCUCGGAUCAGGUAGGAAUACCCGCUGAACUUAAGCAUAUCAAUAAG